CUGCCAGACUCCUACGGGAGGCAGCAGUGGGGGAUAUUGCACAAUGGGGGGAACCCUGAUGCAGCGACGCCGCGUGGGUGAAGAAGCGCCUCGGCGCGUAAAGCCCUGUCAGCAGGGAAGAAAAUGACGGUACCUGAAGAAGAAGCCCCGACUAACUACGUGCCAGCAGCCGCGGUAAUACGUAGGGGGCAAGCGUUAUCCGGAUUUACUGGGUGUAAAGGGGGCGCAGACGGCGAUGCAAGCCAGGAGUGAAAGCCCGUGGCCCAACCCCGGGACUGCUCUUGGAACUGCGUGGCUGGAGUGCAGGAGGGGCAGGCGGAAUUCCUGGUGUAGCGGUGAAAUGCGUAGAUAUCAGGAGGAACACCGGUGGCGAAGGCGGCUUACUGGACGGUAACUGACGUUGAGGCUCGAAAGCGUGGGGAGCAAACAGGAUUAGAUACCCGCGUA
RNAcentral lists this ribosomal RNA (447 nucleotides) under uncultured bacterium. RNAcentral describes it as "bacterial SSU rRNA". It matches the Rfam family "Bacterial small subunit ribosomal RNA", at positions 328 to 792 of the family's 1533-position model. The record is from RNAcentral.